Molecule: transfer RNA, 148 nt
Filed under: Dysgonomonas sp. OttesenSCG-928-D17
Lineage: Bacteria; Pseudomonadati; Bacteroidota; Bacteroidia; Bacteroidales; Dysgonomonadaceae
Description: tRNA-OTHER
Source: RNAcentral
CGAGAUGUAGCUCAGUUGGUAGAGCAGGAAACAGUCCCUUUCCGCCCGUUGCCUUGUUUUUUGAUAUAUACAAACAAGUGUCGUAAAGAAGAGUUACUUCGGUAGAAAUGUUAUAUACAUUAUUGUGGGUUCAAAUCCCACUAUCCAU